Small nucleolar RNA from Cricetulus griseus (Chinese hamster), 127 nucleotides. Ensembl annotates it as small nucleolar RNA SNORA40. The record is from Ensembl. Lineage: Eukaryota; Metazoa; Chordata; Mammalia; Rodentia; Cricetidae.
AGCACUUGUGUAUGUUUUUGUUCAGUGGAUGGCCAAACCAGGUUAGACAGGAGCAAAAAUUAAUCCUCUUUUGCAACUCGGAACUCCUUGUUCAGUGUGAGUUUUGAUACUUACAAGAAGGACUAUA